Molecule: ribosomal RNA, 468 nt
Filed under: uncultured bacterium
Lineage: Bacteria
Description: partial 16S ribosomal RNA
Rfam family: Bacterial small subunit ribosomal RNA
Source: RNAcentral
GACGAACGCUGGCGGCGUGCUUAACACAUGCAAGUCGAACGGAAAGGCCCUGCUUUUGUGGGGUGCUCGAGUGGCGAACGGGUGAGUAACACGUGAGUAACCUGCCCUUGACUUUGGGAUAACUUCAGGAAACUGGGGCUAAUACCGGAUAGGAGCUCCUGCUGCAUGGUGUGGGUUGGAAAGUUUCGGCGGUUGGGGAUGGACUCGCGGCUUAUCAGCUUGUUGGUGGGGUAGUGGCUUACCAAGGCUUUGACGGGUAGCCGGCCUGAGAGGGUGACCGGCCACAAUGGGACUGAGAUACGGCCCAGACUCCUACGGGAGGCAGCAGUGGGGAAUAUUGCACAAUGGGCGGAAGCCUGAGGCAGCAACGCCGCGUGCGGGAUGACGGCCUUCGGGUUGUAAACCGCUUUCGCCUGUGACGAAGCGUGAGUGACGGUAAUGGGUCAAGAAGCACCGGCUAACUACGUG